AUUGAACGCUGGCGGCAUGCCUUACACAUGCAAGUCGAACGGCAGCACGGGAGCAAUCCUGGUGGCGAGUGGCGAACGGGUGAGUAAUAUAUCGGAACGUGCCCGGUCGUGGGGAUAACGUAGCGAAAGCUACGCUAAUACCGCAUACGAUCUACGGAUGAAAGCGGGGGGAUCGCAAGACCUCGCGCGAUUGGAGCGGCGAUAUCAGAUUAGGAGUUGGUGAGGUAAAGGCUCACCAAGCCGACGAUCUGUAGCUGGUCUGAGAGGACGACCAGCACACUGGGACUGAGACACGGCCCAGACUCCUACGGGAGGCAGGCAGUGGGGAAUUUUGGACCAAAUGGGCGCAAGCCUGAUCCAGCAAUGCCGCGUGCAGGAU
This 379-nucleotide ribosomal RNA is filed under the name uncultured bacterium. Its description in RNAcentral is "bacterial SSU rRNA". It matches the Rfam family "Bacterial small subunit ribosomal RNA", at positions 29 to 409 of the family's 1533-position model. The record is from RNAcentral.